GUAGUCAACCUACCCUGGAGACGCGGACAAACCCGGGAAACUGGGGCUAAUCCGCGAUAGAUGACCUCAUCUGGAAGGAGAGGUCGUCCAAAGGGCGGCACGGGUAUGCUCCGUGCCUUUCGCUCCAGGAUGGGACUGCGGCCGAUCAGGCUGUUGGCGGGGUAAUGGCCCACCAAACCUGUAACCGGUACGGGCUUUGAGAGAAGGAGCCCGGAGAUGGACACUGAGACAAGGGUCCAGGCCCUACGGGGCGCAUCAGGCGCGGAACCUUCGCAAUGCGCGAAAGCGUGACGAGGCUAGUCCGAGUGCUUCCUGCUAAAGGGAGCUUUUCUCGGCUGUAAAUAGGCCGGGGAAUAAGGGGAGGGCAAGUCUGGUGUCAGCCGCCGCGGUAAUACCAGCUCCUCGAGUGGUCGGGACGAUUAUUGGGCCUAAAGCACCCGUAGCCGGUUCCGUAAGUCUUCUGUCAAAUCCAACCGCCCAACGGUUGGCCCGCAGAGGAUACUGCGGGACUAGGAGGCGGGAGAGGCGGACGGUACUCCGCGUGUAGGGGUAAAAUCCUUUGAUCCGCGGAAGACCACCAGUGGCGAAGGCGGUCCGCCAGAACGCGCUCGACGGUGAGGGGUGAAAGCUGGGGGAGCGAACCGGAUUAGAUACCCGGGUAGUCCCAGCCGUAAACGAUGCGAGCUAGAUGAUUCGAUCGCAAUACGCGUUCGAAGUGUCGCAGGGAAGCCGUUAAGCUCGCCGCCUGGGGGAGUACGGUCGCAAGGCUGAAUCGCGAGAAGGGAAACUUUCUCGCGCAGUUCACUUAAAGGAAUUGGCGGGGGAGCACCACAAGGGGUGAAGCCUGCGGUUCAAUUGGAUUCAACGCCG
Molecule: ribosomal RNA, 870 nt
Filed under: uncultured archaeon
Lineage: Archaea
Description: bacterial SSU rRNA
Rfam family: Archaeal small subunit ribosomal RNA
Source: RNAcentral